Molecule: ribosomal RNA, 1014 nt
Filed under: Microbacterium sp.
Lineage: Bacteria; Bacillati; Actinomycetota; Actinomycetes; Micrococcales; Microbacteriaceae
Description: bacterial SSU rRNA
Rfam family: Bacterial small subunit ribosomal RNA
Source: RNAcentral
CUUCGAGUUGUAACCUUUUUUAGCAGGGAAGAAGAGAAAGUGACGGUACCUGCAGAAAAAGCGCCGGCUAACUACGUGCCAGCUGCCGCGUUAUACGUAGGGAGCAAAGUUAUCCGGAAUUAUUGGGUGUAAAGAGCUCGUAGGCGGUUUGUCGCGUCUGCUGUGAAAUCCGGAGGCUCAACAUCCGGCCUGCAGUGGGUACGCGCAGACUAGAGUGCRGUAGGGGAGAUUGGAAUUCCUGGUGUAGCGGUGGAAUGCGCAGAUAUCAGGAGGAACACCGAUGGCGAAGGCAGAUCUCUGGGCCGUAACUGACGUUGAGGAGCGAAAGGGUGGGGAGCAAACAGGCUUAGAUACCCUGGUAGUCCACCCCGUAAACGUUGGGAACUAGUUGUGGGGUCCAUUCCACGGAUUCCGUGACGCAGCUAACGCAUUAAGUUCCCCGCCUGGGGAGUACGGCCGCAAGGCUAAAACUCAAAGGAAUUGACGGGGACCCGCACAAGCGGCGGAGCAUGCGGAUUAAUUCGAUGCAACGCGAAGAACCUUACCAAGGCUUGACAUAUACGAGAACGGGCCAGAAAUGGUCAACUCUUUGGACACUCGUAAACAGGUGGUGCAUGGUUGUCGUCAGCUCGUGUCGUGAGAUGUUGGGUUAAGUCCCGCAACGAGCGCAACCCUCGUUCUAUGUUGCCAGCACGUAAUGGUGGGAACUCAUGGGAUACUGCCGGGGUCAACUCGGAGGAAGGUGGGGAUGACGUCAAAUCAUCAUGCCCCUUAUGUCUUGGGCUUCACGCAUGCUACAAUGGCCGGUACAAAGGGCUGCAAUACCGCGAGGUGGAGCGAAUCCCAAAAAGCCGGUCCCAGUUCGGAUUGAGGUCUGCAACUCGACCUCAUGAAGUCGGAGUCGCUAGUAAUCGCAGAUCAGCAACGCUGCGGUGAAUACGUUCCCGGGUCUUGUACACACCGCCCGUCAAGUCAUGAAAGUCGGUAACACCUGAAGCCGGUGGCCUAACCUUU